AAGUCGUAACAAGGUUUCCGUAGGUGAACCUGCGGAAGGAUCAUUAGAGGUUUUAUAUAAAUCUAUAUAUCACUUUACACAUAAAAUUACUCUUUGGAGUAGGUCUUUCUAGGCUUUCCUACCCAGAGAGUGUCCUAAAGAAGCCUUUACCCUUUCCCAAUUUCAGUUUCCGAUUUUAUUUUUUUACCUCGUACAACUCUUAACGGUGGAUGACUCGGCUUCCGUAUCG
RNAcentral lists this unclassified non-coding RNA (229 nucleotides) under fungal sp. RNAcentral describes it as "partial internal transcribed spacer region". The stretch from base 1 to 46 matches the Rfam family "Eukaryotic small subunit ribosomal RNA", at positions 1786 to 1831 of the family's 1831-position model. Lineage: Eukaryota; Fungi. The record is from RNAcentral.